UGUUGUUUCCUUAGACUACCGUACAAUCUCUUGCAGCAGUUCUCUUGUGUAGAAGGUUCAUUGCAACUGAAAAAAAUGAAGUUUUGAAGUAUGACAUGAGAAGACAGGAUGGCAAAAGGACUGCAGUGAUCCCAAUUCUGUUGCUUAGUUAAAUUUCGAGGGAGAAAGAGAAUGCCAAAAGGUUUGGUAGGUUAUGGAAGAAGAAGUUGGACGUGAGAAUCAUCUAGAAAUAAAUUAACAGGUAUUAAAAAAAAAUAAUUCUUA
Coturnix japonica (Japanese quail) is the source of this 264-nucleotide long non-coding RNA. NCBI's taxonomy places the organism in Eukaryota, Metazoa, Chordata, Aves, Galliformes, Phasianidae. The record is from Ensembl.